CUUUCCUUGAUGACGACUGGCGCACGGGUGAGUAACGCGUAUCCAACCUUCCCAUAACUACGGGAUAACCCGUUGAAAGACGGCCUAAUACCGUAUGACAUCGUUUGCUGACAUCAAAUAACGAUUAAAGGUUUAGCGGUUAUGGAUGGGGAUGCGUCUGAUUAGCUUGUUGGCGGGGUAACGGCCCACCAAGGCAACGAUCAGUAGGGGUUCUGAGAGGAAGGUCCCCCACAUUGGAACUGAGACACGGUCCAAACUCCUACGGGAGGCAGCAGGC
This 277-nucleotide ribosomal RNA is filed under the name uncultured Prevotella sp. RNAcentral describes it as "partial 16S ribosomal RNA". It matches the Rfam family "Bacterial small subunit ribosomal RNA", at positions 79 to 354 of the family's 1533-position model. Lineage: Bacteria; Pseudomonadati; Bacteroidota; Bacteroidia; Bacteroidales; Prevotellaceae. The record is from RNAcentral.